AGAGUUUGAUCCUGGCUCAGAAUCAACGCUGGCGGCGCGCCUAACACAUGCAAGUCGAACGAGAAAGCAGGAGCAAUCUUGUGAGUAAAGUGGCGUACGGGUGAGUAACACGUGGAUUAUCUACCUUCUUGUGGGGGAUAACCCUGGGAAACCGGGGCUAAUACCGCAUAAGUCCGAGAGGAGAAAGCAGCAAUGCGCUGGAAGAGGAGUCCGCGGCCGAUUAGCUAGUUGGCAGGGUAAAAGCCUACCAAGGCUAAGAUCGGCAGCCGGCCUGAGAGGGCACACGGCCACACUGGCACUGAAACACGGGCCAGACUCCUACGGGAGGCAGCAGUGGGGAAUCUUGCACAAUGGGGGAAACCCUGAUGCAGCGACGCCGCGUGAGCGAUGAAGCCCUUCGGGGUGUAAAGCUCUUUCGGCAGGGAAGAUUAUGACGGUACCUGCAGAAGCAGCUGCGGCUAACUACGUGCCAGCAGCCGCGGUAAUACGUAGGCAGCAAGCGUUGUUCGGAGUUACUGGGCGUAAAGGGUGUGUAGGCGGUCCCCUAAGUUUGGUGUGAAAUCUCCCGGCUCAACUGGGAGGGUGCGCCGAAAACUGGGGGGCUAGAGUGCGGGAUGGGUAAGUGGAAUUCCUGGUGUAGCGGUGAAAUGCGUAGAUAUCAGGAGGAACACCUGUGGUGUAGACGGCUUACUGGACCGCAACUGACGCUGAGACACGAAAGCGUGGGUAGCAAACAGGAUUAGAUACCCUAGUAGUCC
Molecule: ribosomal RNA, 758 nt
Filed under: uncultured bacterium
Lineage: Bacteria
Description: bacterial SSU rRNA
Rfam family: Bacterial small subunit ribosomal RNA
Source: RNAcentral